Molecule: ribosomal RNA, 222 nt
Filed under: uncultured bacterium
Lineage: Bacteria
Description: partial 16S ribosomal RNA
Rfam family: Bacterial small subunit ribosomal RNA
Source: RNAcentral
UACGUAGGGUCCGAGCGUUGUUCGGAAUUAUUGGGCGUAAAGGGCGCGUAGGCGGUGCGGUAAGUCUGCAGUGAAAUCUCUGGGCUCAACUCAGAGUCUGCUGUAGAAACUGCCGUGCUUGAGUGUGGGAGAGGUGAGUGGAAUUCCCGGUGUAGCGGUGAAAUGCGUAGAUAGUCGGGAGGAACACCAGUGGCGAAGGCGAUCUUCUGGACGGAGUACUGA